GCUGGCCGCCAGGUCUUCAGAAAUGCCCGGGAUCUCGUCUGAUCUCAGAAGCUAAGCGGGGUUGGGCCUGGUUAGUACUUGGAUGGGAGAAGUGCCCGAGGGCCUCUCCCCACCCAUGAGCGGUGUACCUAGCU
RNAcentral lists this ribosomal RNA (134 nucleotides) under Propithecus coquereli (Coquerel's sifaka). Lineage: Eukaryota; Metazoa; Chordata; Mammalia; Primates; Indriidae. The record is from RNAcentral.